AAUCGUCCCCCCGUCGGCGCGUCGAUACGGCAAUAACGCAACGUGAUCGAAUCGCGUUCACUCGCCGCAAUUGUCCGAUUGGCGCUGGAAAUCCCGAAAAACACGGGCAAUAAUUGUUUUCACUAGCUCAACUCCGACUGUUAAGCCGCGGCACAGGUUUAAUUCACGAUUGUGCUCUGAAAAUCGAAAAAACGUCGAAAACUGCAAA
Cinara cedri is the source of this 208-nucleotide non-coding RNA. NCBI's taxonomy places the organism in Eukaryota, Metazoa, Arthropoda, Insecta, Hemiptera, Aphididae. The record is from the annotation of a GenBank genome assembly.